AUUGAACGCUGGCGGCAUGCUUUACACAUGCAAGUCGAACGGCAGCGCGGGCUUCGGCCUGGCGGCGAGUGGCGAACGGGUGAGUAAUACAUCGGAACGUGCCCAGUAGUGGGGGAUAGCUCGGCGAAAGCCGGAUUAAUACCGCAUACGACCUGAGGGUGAAAGCGGGGGAUCUUCGGACCUCGCGCUCUUGGAGCGGCCGAUGGCAGAUUAGCUAGUUGGUGGGGUAAAGGCCUACCAAGGCGACGAUCGGUAGCUGGUCUGAGAGGACGACCAGCCACACUGGGACUGAGACACGGCCCAGACUCCUACGGGAGGCAGCAGUGGGGAAUUUUGGACAAUGGGCGAAAGCCUGAUCCAGCAAUGCCGCGUGUGUGAUGAAGGCCUUCGGGUUGUAAAGCACUUUUGGCGGGAACGAAAAGGACUGUGCCAAUACCACGGUUCGAUGACGGUACCCGCAGAAUAAGCACCGGCUAACUACGUG
This 484-nucleotide ribosomal RNA is filed under the name uncultured bacterium. Its description in RNAcentral is "partial 16S ribosomal RNA". It matches the Rfam family "Bacterial small subunit ribosomal RNA", at positions 29 to 507 of the family's 1533-position model. The record is from RNAcentral.